This is a long non-coding RNA of Morus notabilis, 1100 nucleotides long. RefSeq lists it as uncharacterized. The record is from RefSeq and is a predicted model, not a curated record. NCBI's taxonomy places the organism in Eukaryota, Viridiplantae, Streptophyta, Magnoliopsida, Rosales, Moraceae. The transcript has 3 exons.
CCAGUUUUUUUUUUCCCCCUUAGACACGUUGAGAGGCUAAGAGCAUUAAAGAGAGAGAAAAAAAAAAAAAAACAGAGAGAAAAAAGCUUAGGAAUAAAAAAAAAAAUUUCACUCUCUAUGCAUCCACCGAAUACCCUCUCCCUCUCCCUCUGCGGUUUUUUUUUUCCCCUCUUUUCCUUGAUUCAUCCUUCUUCUCCCACAAAGAGCUGCAGCAGUUCAUUGAAGUAAAUGAUUGAUUUGAGCUACGGUUCAAACUUGAGGAGAAGAAAGAUUCAACUCAGCCCAGAAUUGAAGAGGAAUUUGAUAAAGACAAGAACAAGGCAGAGCAGUAGGCAGGGGAGUUGGCUUCGUUCACCGCUGUACAUAUGGUCGGACCGAAAAAACGGCACAUACUAUUUUGGAAUUGUAAAUACAUAUAUUUUGAGAUUAAACUCAUAAACGUUGGAUGGUUAUAUAAUUAUAAGCAUAGCUAGAAAACCUGAUAAAAAUAGUGUGUUGACCGAGUCUUGUUUAAGGAAAUUUUUUAAAAUACCAUAAUUUUCGCAUAAGCGAAUAGUGAAGGUUAGUUAUUGUGGCACAUUCUUUGCAUUAAUACUAAGUGAGGUUUUCAGGAGAUAGUAUAAGGAUGUCACAAUUAGUGGUAUCAGAGUUAGAGUUUAAUCGUUUUUACAGACAACUCCAUGUGUACAAGUCACGAAGACGGCGAACCUGCUCACUGUAAGUUGUGUAUUUUGUGAAUUUUGCAUUUAUGAGUAUAUGAUUUAUGAAACUUUAACGUGUAUAGGUUAAAGAAAUAGUUGUCUUAUGUCUGGGUCGAGUUGUAGACGAGCAGAAGUUCAAUUGAGCCAAAAAUUAAACACUGAAGUGACUAGUAGAUUACAAAUAACAACCAGUGAAAUGGCAUACUACGGAGACGUGGUUGAGGCGGCGAAACCUUCAACGUUCUCAGAUGAGGAGAACACUAUACCAGUGGAAAAUUAGGCCACUCGGAUGACCAUAAUUUUUCGCGCGCACAACAUUCCCCAUAAGUUUAGGACAAUGAUAGCGGCUAUGUAUUUAAGAGAAUAUCCAGCAAUUUGGUGGGAGAUUUUGCAAGAUAG